This 466-nucleotide ribosomal RNA is filed under the name uncultured bacterium. Its description in RNAcentral is "bacterial SSU rRNA". It matches the Rfam family "Bacterial small subunit ribosomal RNA", at positions 917 to 1382 of the family's 1533-position model. The record is from RNAcentral.
GGACCCGCACAAGCGGUGGAUGAUGUGGAUUAAUUCGAUGCAACGCGAAAAACCUUACCUACCCUUGACAUGUCAGGAAGUCCGCUGAGAGGUGGAUGUGCCCGAAAGGGAACCUGAACACAGGUGCUGCAUGGCUGUCGUCAGCUCGUGUCGUGAGAUGUUGGGUUAAGUCCCGCAACGAGCGCAACCCUUGUCAUUAAUUGCCAUCAUUCAGUUGGGCACUUUAAUGAGACUGCCGGUGACAAACCGGAGGAAGGUGGGGAUGACGUCAAGUCCUCAUGGCCCUUAUGGGUAGGGCUUCACACGUCAUACAAUGGUCGGUACAGAGGGUUGCCAACCCGCGAGGGGGAGCCAAUCCCACAAAGCCGAUCGUAGUCCGGAUCGCAGUCUGCAACUCGACUGCGUGAAGUCGGAAUCGCUAGUAAUCGUGGAUCAGCAUGUCACGGUGAAUACGUUCCCGGGUCUU